Molecule: ribosomal RNA, 481 nt
Filed under: uncultured bacterium
Lineage: Bacteria
Description: bacterial SSU rRNA
Rfam family: Bacterial small subunit ribosomal RNA
Source: RNAcentral
UUGAACGCUGGCGGAAUGCUUUACACAUGCAAGUCGAGCGGCAGCGCGGGGCAACCUGGCGGCGAGCGGCGAACGGGUGAGUAAUGCAUCGGAACAUGUCCAUGUCGUGGGGGAUAGCCCGGCGAAAGCCGGAUUAAUACCGCAUACGCCCGAGAGGGGAAAGUGGGGGACCGCAAGGCCUCACGCGAUUGGGUUGGCCGAUGUCCGAUUAGCUUGUUGGUGAGGUAAAGGCUUACCAAGGCGAUGAUCGGUAGCUGGUCUGAGAGGAUGAUCCGCCACACUGGGACUGAGACACGGCCCAGACUCCUACGGGAGGCGGCAGUGGGGAAUUUUGGACAAUGGGGGCAACCCUGAUCCAGCCAUGCCGCGUGAGUGAAGAAGGCCUUCGGGUUGUAAAGCUCUUUCAGACGGAAAGAAAACGCAUCGGUGAAUACCCGGUGUGGAUGACGGUACCGUAAGAAGAAGCACCGGCUAACUACGU